Molecule: transfer RNA, 86 nt
Filed under: Deltaproteobacteria bacterium
Lineage: Bacteria; Pseudomonadati; Myxococcota; Myxococcia
Description: tRNA-Leu
Rfam family: tRNA
About the family: Transfer RNA (tRNA) molecules are approximately 80 nucleotides in length. Their secondary structure includes four short double-helical elements and three loops (D, anti-codon, and T loops).
Source: RNAcentral
GCCCGGAUGGAGGAAUUGGCAGACUCACAAGACUUAAAAUCUUGUGUCCCGUGAGGGACGUGCCGGUUCGACCCCGGCUCCGGGCA